AGAUUGAACGCUGGCGGCAUGCCUAACACAUGCAAGUCGAACGGGAGUAGCAAUACUCUAGUGGCGGACGGGUGAGGAAUACGUAGGAAUUUUGCCCUUAAGUGGGGGAUAACCCGGGGAAACUCGGAUUAAUACCGCAUGACCUCGAAAGAGCAAAGGUGGGGGAUCGCAAGACCUCACGCUUUUGGAGAAGCCUACGUCGGAUUAGCUAGUUGGUGAGGUAAUGGCUCGACCGAAGGCGACGAGUCCGUAACUGGUCUAGAGAGGUAUGGAUCGAGUCACGACCGGAACUGACGACGACCGGUCCGGACUCCGUAGGGA
This 321-nucleotide ribosomal RNA is filed under the name uncultured soil bacterium. RNAcentral's name for it is "bacterial SSU rRNA". It matches the Rfam family "Bacterial small subunit ribosomal RNA", at positions 26 to 346 of the family's 1533-position model. The record is from RNAcentral.